Molecule: ribosomal RNA, 254 nt
Filed under: uncultured bacterium
Lineage: Bacteria
Description: partial 16S ribosomal RNA
Rfam family: Bacterial small subunit ribosomal RNA
Source: RNAcentral
CAUGUAGGGUGCGAGCGUUGUCCGGAAUUAUUGGGCGUAAAGAGCUCGUAGGCGGUGUGUCGCGUCGGCCGUGAAAACCUGCAGCUUAACUGUGGGCGUGCGGUCGAUACGGGCAUCACUGGAGUUCGGCAGGGGAGACUGGAAUUCCUGGUGUAGCGGUGAAAUGCGCAGAUAUCAGGAGGAACACCGGUGGCGAAGGCGGGUCUCUGGGCCGAUACUGACGCUGAGGAGCGAAAGCGUGGGGAGCAAACAGG